CUCCAUUGAAGAGCUGGAGGACCUUUACAUGGUGUUUAAGGCCAAGCACCUGGCUAGCCAGUACUGGGGGUGCAGCCGCACAAUGGCCGGCCGUCGGGACCCCAGCCUGCCCUACCUGGAGCAGUACCGGAUUGAUGCCAGCCAGUUCCGGGAACUCUUUGCCAGCCUGACACCCUGGGCCUGCGGCUCCCACACGCCUGUGCUGGCAGGGCGCAUGUUCAGGCUCCUGGACAAAAACAAGGACUCGCUGAUCAACUUCAAGGAGUUCGUGACGGGGAUGAGCGGGAUGUACCACGGGGACCUGACAGAGAAGCUCAAGGUGCUCUACAAGCUACACCUUCCCCCAGCUCUGAGCCCAGAGGAAGCCGAGUCAGCCCUGGAGGCGGCCCAUUAUUUCACAGAGGACAGCUCCUCAGAAGGAAGCCUGGAAGCUCUUUGUCCCAGGGACCCCUCUGGGACUUCAUCCUCUGGGGCAUAAGUUCUGAGAAGGACCCAGAACCAAGCCACUCCUCUGCACCGCCUCCGUGUCUGCUGUGGGUGGGCAGUAAAUAAGGCCCCCCACA
This 563-nucleotide small RNA is filed under the name Pongo abelii (Sumatran orangutan). RNAcentral's name for it is "processed transcript". The record is from RNAcentral. Lineage: Eukaryota; Metazoa; Chordata; Mammalia; Primates; Hominidae.